RNAcentral lists this ribosomal RNA (480 nucleotides) under uncultured bacterium. RNAcentral describes it as "bacterial SSU rRNA". It matches the Rfam family "Bacterial small subunit ribosomal RNA", at positions 30 to 506 of the family's 1533-position model. The record is from RNAcentral.
UUGAACGCUGGCGGCAUGCCUUACACAUGCAAGUCGAACGGCAGCACGGGGCAACCUGGUGGCGAGUGGCGAACGGGUGAGUAAUAUAUCGGAACAUACCCUAGCGUGGGGGAUAACGUAGCGAAAGUUACGCUAAUACCGCAUACGAACUAAGGUUGAAAGUGGGGGAUCGCAAGACCUCAUGCUCAUGGAGUGGCCGAUAUCUGAUUAGCUGGUUGGUGAGGUAAAGGCUCACCAAGGCGACGAUCAGUAGCUGGUCUGAGAGGACGACCAGCCACACUGGAACUGAGACACGGUCCAGACUCCUACGGGAGGCAGCAGUGGGGAAUUUUGGACAAUGGGCGCAAGCCUGAUCCAGCAAUGCCGCGUGCAGGAAGAAGGCCUUCGGGUUGUAAACUGCUUUUGUACGGAGCGAAAAGGCUCUCUCUAAUACAGGGGGCUCAUGACGGUACCGUAAGAAUAAGCACCGGCUAACUACGU